CCACUAAGCUGUCAUGGAUGGAUUCUUGGGGAGCAUGGAGACUCAAGUGUACCAGUGUGGAGUGGAGUGAAUGUUGCUGGUGUCUCC
This is a long non-coding RNA of Dipodomys ordii (Ord's kangaroo rat), 87 nucleotides long. RefSeq lists it as uncharacterized. Lineage: Eukaryota; Metazoa; Chordata; Mammalia; Rodentia; Heteromyidae. The transcript has 2 exons. The record is from RefSeq and is a predicted model, not a curated record.